RNAcentral lists this ribosomal RNA (757 nucleotides) under Coccus pseudomagnoliarum (citricola scale). RNAcentral describes it as "partial large subunit ribosomal RNA". It matches the Rfam family "Eukaryotic large subunit ribosomal RNA", at positions 403 to 946 of the family's 3401-position model. The record is from RNAcentral. Lineage: Eukaryota; Metazoa; Arthropoda; Insecta; Hemiptera; Coccidae.
AACCGUUCGGGGGUAAACGGACAGAGCCCGUGAAUCCGGGCGCGCGGAAUUCAGGACCGACGGCGGUGUCCGUCGAUUCGAUAUUUCCGCCGCCGACCCUCAACCGAGGCGGACGUCGCGACCCGUUCGCCAUCGAAACUCAGGAACGCGCUUCAAGUUCGUAUGCGCGGCCGUCUCGGCGGGCGGCGAUGACGCGUUUCCGCUGUUUCGGCGCGGACGGUAGCUUUGGCGCGGGUAAUCGAAGCGGUCUCGCCCGUCGUCUCGUACGGCGGGCGGCGCUCGCUUCGACGCCGGUCAGCGACGAAUCUUCGGGCCUCUUUCCGACCCGUCUUGAAACACGGACCAAGGAGUCUAGCGUGCGCGCGAGUCGCGGGGUAUCCGAGAGGUCACGCCUCUCGUCACGAUACGAAACCCGUGUACGUACGUUGUGCGAAGGCGUAAUGAAAGUGAAAGGCGACGCUUCGCGCGUCGCCGGGGAAGACGGUGUUCCGUGUACACGUUUCGCGAUCACGCUGUGUCGCGACCGGACACCCGCAUUCCCAGGGCGUCCCGACAGUACGGCGGCGCGUGGGGCGUUCCGCGCGCGUCGACGAACUGGGGCGCACCUACAGCGUGCACGCUGGUACCCGAAAGAUGGUGAACUAUGCCCGGCCAGGAUGAAGUCAGGGGAAACCCUGAUGGAGGUCCGCAGCGAUUCUGACGUGCAAAUCGAUCGUCUGAGCUGGGUAUAGGGGCGAAAGACUAAUCGAACCAUCUA